This is a long non-coding RNA of Solanum pennellii, 3747 nucleotides long. RefSeq lists it as uncharacterized. The transcript has 4 exons. NCBI's taxonomy places the organism in Eukaryota, Viridiplantae, Streptophyta, Magnoliopsida, Solanales, Solanaceae. The record is from RefSeq and is a predicted model, not a curated record.
CUGCUCUUUUCAUCAUUUCUUUUCUUCAUAUUUUUCAAAAUCAUCCUUAUCAACAAUAGGUUUGUAUCUAUUUCUUGAAUAACAAAUUCCUACAAAAAAAGAAUUAUUUUCUAAAGAUUAUCUGUUAUAACGCAAAAUUGUUCUUGCUUCUUGUAAAACUCCAUUAUGGCUACACCUCGAAAGAGUCCUAGUCUAAUGAAAAACAAUACCAAUUUCAACAGUCUCAUUCUAUGUACAACACCAAAUUUUCAGUUGAUUGCUUCCACCUCUUCUCCAACAGUAGUGAAGUUCGUAUAAUUGAGGUGAUUGAAACAAACAAUUAAAGGGUAAAGAGAAAGAAGAUACUUUCGUUAAAACCAAUUAUGGAGGAAAAAAGAGUAAAGAGAAAUCUUUACGAAUGCUAAGGGUCCUCACGAUAGCAAGUUUGAAGACCAUAUACCAAUUGCAAAAAGAAUCCGUCUCAACAAGAAAUAUGGUGUACAUCAUGGAAAACAAAAGUUAUUAAACGUGGUGGUAAUAUGAGAAGGACGAAUAUGAAAAGGACAAAGUUAUCCAAGGUUCAACCCGAACUCAUCAGAAGAUUGAUGUAUGCUGAGACAAAAAAUAAUCGCAACAAUAUGUUCAUCAUCAAUUUGAACGGUAAAGAUCUACAUUUUGGCAUAAAGAAAUUUAGCCUUGUAAAUGUUUUCAAAUGUGAGGGACAUACAGAUUUUAUUUUUGACCCUGAUAGUCCAUCGAAGCUUAUGAGUUUGUACUUUUCUAAUUCAUCUGGUAAAGUUCUUAAGGCUGAUCUAAUUAGAGUUAAAAAAAAGAAGAAGGGUUGAUUAAGGAUGAAUUUUCAACAUCACCAUUCUUUACUUUACUAGAUGAGCGUCGUCCGUGCUAAAUACGGGCCCAACGUUUAAAAUUUUAUCAUAAUUUUACUUCUAUUUGAUUAACCUAUGAAAUAUAUUUGAGAAUCAACAUAGUAAAAAAUAUUUUUUUAAAUAACUGUAAUUUCAAAAUACACAAUGUCUAUUAUUUUAGUAAUGAAUCAUAUUUCACCACUUGUUAAUAUUGCUUGGCUUUCAUGGCACAACUGGCUUUUUUGCUUGUCGUUGGGCAUUCAUGUUUGGGAAAGGCUUAUUUAUGCACCAACUAUUAUGAUUCAUGCUACUGUUACAAUUUAUACAACUAAUGUUUCCAAAGGGUUAUAUAAUAGGGGUCUCAAAACAGGUAUCAAAAAGAUGUGUUGAGAUCUAGAACAAAGUUGAGUCAUUUUUUGCCCUAUUUGUGUCUAUUACUUUGCUCUUCCUCCCACUUUCGACGUCUUGCUUGCUAGUGGUCACCACUGUGUCCGUCCCCCAAAAUGAUAAGGAACUGAAUACACCAAUAUAACUAUGUAAGAGUUGUAGUGGAAAUAGCAAGGUCGAAUCUUGUACACAACUUCAGACAGCUUCUUAACGAGUGCAAUAAUCAAACAAAUUUUAUGAAAAACAAGGUAGAAUGCAACUGUAAACAGGGUUAUUCAAUUCAAUAUAAUGCUUUAGAUGAUGCCUUGCAAGUACAUAUUUCGAACAUUGUAACUUUCAACCCAUGUUGCGCGAACUCUUCAAAAAUGACAGGUGAGUGUAGAAUCUGACAUGUGUGGGACAGUCAAAGUGAAGGGCCUACACAACAUAACUUUCAACACACCAUAAUAUUGUUAUUUUCUAACAUGGUCAAUGAGUAUUCUUAUAACCGACCUUACAUGUUUGAGACUUGGGCAUGAUUGUUUUUAUCGUUAUUAUUGUAUUUCAAGAUUGUUGAUUGUUGCCUUUUAGGUCCUUUCCUAUUUAAGAUUUUGGUAAAGCUAUGAGCUUUAGAGGAAGACUUGUAUUUUCAGCCUAUUUGAAUUGCAACUGUCUUGAUUAAUUUUGCCAAGAGUGUAAUUUCUAUAGAUUGAAUGGGUAACAGAAAGUGAUGGUCUUUUAUGUGAAUAGUAUAAAAAAGACAUUGAUGUAAAUACAAAAAAUUUAACGUGUAACAGCGAAGAACUUUGUACGCUCAUUUAUCAAAAGUUGUCUGACUGUUGAGCAGAUUAUUAUAUCAUUGCAAAUUUUCCUAUAAGAAAGUUUAGCCUUAAUUCAGUAAUUGGUAUAGACAUACUAUGAUGUGAUAAUCUUCAUGUCACAACUGUUAUUUUUUUCAUGUCUCCAUGUUCUCCUCCAGGCAUGAGGCUAGAUUUUGUUAGCACUAAGAAAAAGAAUGUUAUCAUUUCUAAUACAUUUUAAAGUCACCAGUCAAAGAAGAAAACAAACAGCAAAUAGUUCAUUAAGACUAUGGACAAACAUACUACUCUAUCCUAUUUCACAACUGUUACCAACUAUAAAGAAGCAUCCAUCUCAAUUAAGGCUGCAACAUAAAAUAAAAUAAAACAUGUAUUAUUACACACUAACACAAAUAAAAGUAAGCUCGAGUGUUCAGUUACAAACACUAAUAUUGUAUAAACUGCAAAUGGUUGAUUCCUAACACCUGUCUAUUGUGUAAACUACACAUGAGAGAUAAACGGUUAGAAUGAAAACUUCUUAGAUAGAAACAUAAUGCAGAUAACAUAAAGCAAUGCAGAAAUCUCAUAAUGUACCACAGACAUCAAGCAUCACCCCUAAAAAUCACUGUCUAUAUGAACUUCACAAAGCACAACAAUGUCCCAAGUCAAUAAAGGUUACAGAUUGAGAUAGAUUCACUAAAAUAGUCCACUUUCAAUGAAUCAUCUCCACACCACCUUAAUAAUGGUGAAUGUGUACACAAGAUUCAUAUAAGAGAAGCUGGAAAGAUAGAGGUCUGAAUCUGACCAUCAGAAUGUUUUCCGUGUCAUAAUUUGGCCAACUAAGUAUUCACUGAAAAUGUAAAAUUUAUCAGGUUUGACGUAUUGAUGGCAGUGAAAAGACUCUGAUACCCAAAGAAGACAUUAAUAAAUUCUACAAUGGAUAUUGCUACAUUGUUCUCUACACAUACCAUUCUCAUGAACGAAAAGAAGAUUAUUACUUAUGUUGGUGGAUUAAAAAAGAUAGCAUCGAGGAGAAUCAAGAAAUGGUUACACAAUUGGCUAGCACAAUGUGCAAUUUACUUAAAGGGAGACCUAUGCUGGUAUUAUUUUUUUUGCUUAUUGUUUUUUCAGUCAAAAACUCAAAAUUAAUCUUAGUGUGACAUUUACGUUAUCCAGGGUUGAGGAUAUCAAGGGAAAGAACCAGCACAAUUUGUUGCAAUAUUUCAGCCCAUGUUGGUUCUUAAGGUAUCUCUCCAUAUUAUCAUGAUAGAGCUAUUGAUGUCGUUUGGACGUAUAAAAUAACCAUGACAAGUCUCUUUCCUUUUAUCAGGGUGGAUUAAGCUCUGGCUAUAACAAUCAUAUUGAAGAAAAUGUCUUGAAUGAUGAAACCUAUGCUUCUGAUAUUGUUGGCCUUUUCAGGAAAUCUAGAAUUUCUAGUCAUAACAACAAUGUAGUUCAAGUCAAUGUUUCUACCUUUUAUGAAAAUUUAAUCAAGGCUAUGUCUUUAACGGCAUCAUACCAUGCUUUUAUUUUUCUAACCAUGAAACAAUACAUUCAUCCGACUCUAUUUGAUAUGUUUAUUAAAGUUUCAGAGCUUUUAUUUAAUACAUAGACAGAAAUCGAGGGAUAGCUAUAUGAAUAAGAAAAAAAAGAUAAAUAUAUGACAGAAGGACAAAAAAUUGAUGAAGAACUUACCUGGAAUUGAAAGAAGAGAGGACUAAACAAACUUGAUAUCAUAA